ACGAACGCUGGCGGCGUGCUUAACACAUGCAAGUCGAACGGAAAGGCCCUGCUUUUGUGGGGUGCUCGAGUGGCGAACGGGUGAGUAACACGUGAGUAACCUGCCCUUGACUUUGGGAUAACUUCAGGAAACUGGGGCUAAUACCGGAUAGGAGCUCCUGCUGCAUGGUGGGGGUUGGAAAGUUUCGGCGGUUGGGGAUGGACUCGCGGCUUAUCAGCUUGUUGGUGGGGUAGUGGCUUACCAAGGCUUUGACGGGUAGCCGGCCUGAGAGGGUGACCGGCCACAUGGGGACUGAGAUACGGCCCAGACUCCUACGGGAGGCAGCAGUGGGGAAUAUUGCACAAUGGGCGGAAGCCUGAUGCAGCAACGCCGCGUGCGGGAUGACGGCCUUCGGGUUGUAAACCGCUUUCGCCUGUGACGAAGCGUGAGUGACGGGAAUGGGUAAAGAAGCACCGGCUAACUACGU
RNAcentral lists this ribosomal RNA (466 nucleotides) under uncultured bacterium. Its description in RNAcentral is "partial 16S ribosomal RNA". It matches the Rfam family "Bacterial small subunit ribosomal RNA", at positions 29 to 506 of the family's 1533-position model. The record is from RNAcentral.